This 1497-nucleotide long non-coding RNA is filed under the name Monodelphis domestica (gray short-tailed opossum). RNAcentral describes it as "lncRNA (ENSMODG00000043009.1)". Lineage: Eukaryota; Metazoa; Chordata; Mammalia; Didelphimorphia; Didelphidae. The record is from RNAcentral.
GACGGGAAGAACGCAGACGGGCCGCUCCUAUUGGGAGGCGCUCAGGACGGCAGCCCCGGGGCUCCCCGCAGGCCGGCAGGCCCUUACCUGGUGCACGAUCUUGCUGAAGGCCUCCUGCAGUUUACCGUGAAUGAUGGACAGCUUCUUGGCGUCCCGAUUGGCCUCGUGGAUGGGGAUGAGCACCUUGUAGACCUCGUUGACCGCCUCGUACAUGCCCGCCUGCAAGUGCAGCGACCGCCGUGCUCAGAGGCCCUCCGGCCGCUCCCACCGUCCCCAUCCAGGCCGGCCACUGCCCGCACGGUGCUCGGUGCUCGGCCGGACCCUGCUUCCCCCUGCGGCCUCCGGGGGGACGUCCGGCUGCUCUCCGGCCCACCAUCUCGCCAGCAGAGCAGAGGCGUCAGUGUGUGCGCAUGUGGGGGGGACAGGGGGGCGGCGAGGCCCGGCCCUGGCGCCUACCAUGGAGAAGGAGGCAGCCGCCUGCUCCAGCAGCCCCACCAGCCCGGCCUCCGUGAAGUACUUUCCCGAGCAGAUGCCCUCCUCGUCCGGAGACACCACGUCGUCCGACACGGCCGACUCCUCCAGGACGUUGGACGAGAUGUUCUGUGGAGGCAGGUCCAGGUGAGGCCUGCCCCCCCCCAACAGCACGCACCAGAGGCAGCCCCAACCCCAGAGGGGAGCCCCCCAUUAGAACGCACCAGAGGCGGCCCCAACCCCAUAGGGGAGCCCCCCCCGUUAGCAUGUACCAGAGGCGGCCCCAACCCCAGAGGGGAGCCCCCCAUUAGAACGCACCAGAGGCGGCCCCAACCCCAGAGGGGAGCCCCCCCAUUAGAACGCACCAGAGGCGGCCCCAACCCCAGAGGGGAGCCCCCCCAGCCCUCCCCCGCCCAGGAUGCACCAAGAAGCGGCCGGGUCCCUGGAGGGAAGCCCUCCCCCCUCCCCCCACGGGGACCACCUGGAAGGUCACGCAGCCCACGGGCAGGUACUUCCGGUCCUCCAGCAUGCUCAGGUACUCGGCCACCAGGGCGGCCGAGUGGACCAGGCACUGGGCGGCCUCGGCAUGGUUGUUCCUCUCCGAGUGCUUGCCGGCCAUGUUCUGCAGCCAGGUCAGCCGCAGGUCCGGGGACGUCUGGUAGCCUUUGGCGAUCCUGCGGGGACACGAGCGCUCCCGUGAGCUCCGGGCCUCCCGCGCAGAGCCCGGCACACGGGCCGGCCGGCCUACCUGUACAUGAGGUCGAUGAGCAUCUCGGGGUCCUCCUGGUGCUCCUUCAUCUUCACGGUGUCCGACAGGAUCAUGUGCAGGUUGAAGACGAGAUCCUGCACCUGCGGCGAGAGACGGGCUCGCGGGGGGCCUCACGCUGCAGCCGCCCCCCCCCCCCCCCAGGGGCCCCUCCUCACCUGGUCUGGGAACGUGGUCUCCCGCAGCUCCAGGUCCUCCUCGGCGUAGGUCAGGAUGGUCUUGAGGGAGCGCCGCAGAGACUCCUCGUUAAAGCUCUGUGA